UGCCUAUAAUGGUGAAACCGCGAACGGCUCAUUAUAACAGCUAUAAUGUACUUGAUGUUGAUUAUCCAACGUGGAUAACUGUGGUAAUUCUAGAGCUAAUACAUGCACCAAAGCUCCGACUUAUGGACGAGCGCAUCUAUUAGAUUAAAACCAAUCGGGUUUUAUUAACCCGUAAAUUGGUGACUCUGAAUAGCUCUGGCC
Molecule: ribosomal RNA, 201 nt
Filed under: Serratospiculum sp. SD-2018
Lineage: Eukaryota; Metazoa; Nematoda; Chromadorea; Rhabditida; Diplotriaenidae
Description: partial small subunit ribosomal RNA
Rfam family: Eukaryotic small subunit ribosomal RNA
Source: RNAcentral